GUGAUCCUAGGGGGGCAGCAGUGAGGAAUAUUGGUCAAUGGGCGAGAGCCUGAACCAGCCAAGUCGCGUGAGGGAAGACGGUCCUAUGGAUUGUAAACCUCUUUUGUCGGGGAGCAAAAAGACUACGUGUAGUCCCAAGCGAGAGUACCCGAAGAAAAAGCAUCGGCUAACUCCGUGCCAGCAGCCGCGGUAAUACGGAGGAUGCGAGCGUUAUCCGGAUUUAUUGGGUUUAAAGGGUGCGUAGGCUGAAUGUCAAGUCAGCGGUAAAAAUUCAGGGCUCAACCCGGUCGUGCGGUUGAAACUGG
RNAcentral lists this ribosomal RNA (305 nucleotides) under uncultured bacterium. RNAcentral describes it as "bacterial SSU rRNA". It matches the Rfam family "Bacterial small subunit ribosomal RNA", at positions 332 to 636 of the family's 1533-position model. The record is from RNAcentral.